AUACCAGUAUAAAUAAGAGGAGCCACAUUCCAUUAUCUUACACAAUUUCACUCGAUCUCACUUUCUCUAUAUAUAUUCUUAAUUUUUUUUAUUUAUUUACACCAUAAUAAUAAUAAAGCCCUGCCUCGUUUUAAGUAUUGCAACUCCCGAUCACCGCUACCCUUUCCGAUUGAUGUGAGCCUCAUAACAUAUGUCAGGGCUCUGCCCGACUAAGUUGUUGGGAUUCGGUCUCGGGACUUCGAGACAAGGUUGAAUUAGGGAUACUAUACUUAACACGAGUGCAUUAUAUUUUUAUAGCUUAGAAGUUAUGCCCAAAAUUUAUACCAGGAGAUCUUCUAGUUGAACCCUAAAAAUUCAUAGUGGGUCCAUUCUCUUUUCUCACAAUUUUAUUCUCUUUUUGUGAUUCACCCAAAACUAUUAUUUAUUAUUUUAUUUUAUAAACUCUAUUUGAGACCCCAAGUUAUCCUGCAUAAACCCUAAAAUUUUCAUAACAAUUAGAAUCAGGAUCAGGGCCCCUAAAACUCAGAGGGGGCAUUUCCCAUUCGAUAUUAUUUACACAAUUCGUUGUCAAAUGAGAAUUUCUUCGAAUCAUCGACUCAGCAAGCCUAAGCUGGUGACCAAGCAUGCCUACCCUACUUUGGCAUUCCCCGCGACACGCGACCGGUCCCGGGGAUCCUGUCGCGACACGCGGGCGGGUCCAAAUUGGGGUAUAAAUGUUGGGGCUCGGGGCUUGAACAGUUUGCUUGUUUCGACGUAAAAUUUCCUUUCAUACACUGAGAUAUACGUAAUUUUACUACCAAACACACACAACCCUGAAACGCUGCUACGAUACAGGGUAUUAACUCAAUCGCUGCUACGAUUUAAUGUCCGAUCGAUUGAAACUAUCCGAUGAAUGUUUAAGUGCUACUCAAAUUGGGUUUAUACUUUGUCAUUAGUCGUGAUUUCGACUUGAAUGUUUGAGUACCACCCAAACUCGGAGUGUACUCUGUCAUUCGUUGCGAAUCCGAUGGAUGUUUAAGUAUUGCACUUUGUCAUUCGUUGUGAGGGUAUUAAUCUCGUGAGUUAUCGUAAAUGUUGUAUUAGUUAAUUACCUAGUUUUGUGUGCAUUAUUAUUUAAAUUAGGUUAUCAGGCUUAUCAAUAGACUAAACUCUACCCCAUACACUUACAAUCAAAGUAGAUGCUAAUUCUCAGAAGAAUCUGAAUCAUGAAGCUUGUUAAUUCAAUACUGCAUGCUUAUAAUGUAAUUACAGUAGAUUGGAGUAAGAAUUGGAUCUGGCACUGAAGGACUUCAAGAAGUGGCUUAUUUUAUUAAUUAAAUCAAAUCAAGAAAUAUUGUUUUAUAUAAUCAAAUUUAUAUUAAAGCUAUCAUUGUAAAACAUGGGUUUUAUCCCAUCUAUUUAAUAAAUAAAAUCCGGUGUUUUUAAACUCUGAUAUUUUUCCUAACUCACGGUCCUGAUGAAAUUUCCGCCGCAAUGUUUUUAAAAGUAAUCACCGGUACCACUGGGCUGCUCGCGGCUCCCGAUUCCGUCCAGGAUGGGGUCGAGGGCCGUGACAUUAACAUACUGACAUGUGCAUAUAUUGUUGAUUAAUAAUUAGUGACAACAUAAUAUGAAUGUGAACAUAUUUUAAACAUGUAUAACAUUGAAUAAUAUACAAAUUACACAAAAUGGACACGGGAUACCUUUAGUCUCAAACCGAAUGAACUGCAAUUGAGGUUAUUUUGUAUUUGUGGGUGCUGUACCAGUAGAAGUAGUGUCAAUCGACAACGAUUGGUCAGAUAUAUUGACAAUCCCAGAUGCAUUCCCAGAUGAUACCAUAACAUUAGCUGGUAUUGACAUGGAAUCAAGAGUAGGUAUUUCAAAUCCAUGAAAGGAAUGUCGACUAUCAACUGUUGUGUACACAAUUUUGCAACUUUCAGUUGGAUUGACAACAUAUACUGGUUUGGCAGCAGAUGGACCACCAAGAUAGGUAGUAUCAGAUGUAUGAGGAUGAUAUUCAGAGAUUGGUGGGUUAGUAUCAUCGGAUGCGGUAGGUUCAACACGAGAUAUUUCAACACGGGAUGAAUCAGUGGACGCCAAAUGUAGCAACAAUCCCGAAUGCCCCAGCAAUGAAAUUUGUGGGAUGAAAUUUGUGGGAUACACUGUUGUCUAAUGUCGCGAGAACCACCGUAAACUCAUGUGUGCUGCCGGUAAGCCGCCGUGAACAGCUGUGAACCUUAAUCAAAGUGUAGAUGAUGAUGAUGAUGCAGAUUGUGGAUUGGGAACAAAUGUGAUGAAGAAACCCUAAAACAGGGGACACGCGUGUUUAUGUUACAGAUCCAUAUAUUUAAAAUUAUGACACCGUGUGUUUUUUGUUAGAAUUCAAUAUAUUUACAAUUAUGCCA
This is a long non-coding RNA of Helianthus annuus (common sunflower), 2384 nucleotides long. RefSeq lists it as uncharacterized. The transcript is spliced from 2 exons. The record is from RefSeq and is a predicted model, not a curated record. Lineage: Eukaryota; Viridiplantae; Streptophyta; Magnoliopsida; Asterales; Asteraceae.